GAGUUUGAUCAUGGCUCAGGAUGAACGCUAGCGGCAGGCCUAAUACAUGCAAGUCGAACGGUAACAUGAGUAGCAAUACUUGAUGACGAGUGGCGCACGGGUGCGUAACGCGUAUGCAAUCUACCUUUAACCGGUGAAUAGCCCGAAGAAAUUCGGAUUAAUACACCAUAGUAUGGUGAGGAGGCAUCUCCUUAUCAUUAAAGUUCCGACAGUUAAAGAUGAGCAUGCGUGACAUUAGCUAGUUGGUAAGGUAACGGCUUACCAAGGCAACGAUGUCUAGGGGAUCUGAGAGGAUUAACCCCCACACUGGUACUGAGACAGGGACCAGACUCCUACGGGAGGCAGCAGUAAGGAAUAUUGGACAAUGGUGGCAACACUGAUCCAGCCAUGCCGCGUGAAGGAUGAAGGCCCUAUGGGUUGUAAACUUCUUUUGUACGGGAAAAAACCUUCUUACGUGUAAGAGCUGAUUGUACUGUAAGAAUAAGGAUCGGCUAACUCCGUGCCAGCCGCCGCC
This 514-nucleotide ribosomal RNA is filed under the name uncultured Flavobacterium sp. RNAcentral's name for it is "bacterial SSU rRNA". It matches the Rfam family "Bacterial small subunit ribosomal RNA", at positions 9 to 519 of the family's 1533-position model. Lineage: Bacteria; Pseudomonadati; Bacteroidota; Flavobacteriia; Flavobacteriales; Flavobacteriaceae. The record is from RNAcentral.